GUUAGGAAUAUUGGACAAUGGGCGCAAGCCUGAUCCAGCCAUGCCGCGUGAGUGAUGAAGGCCUUCGGGUUGUAAAGCUCUUUAGCCGAUGAUUAUAAUGACUGUAGUCGGAAAAUAAGCCCCGGCUAACUUCGUGCCAGCAGCCGCGGUAAUACGAAGGGGGCGAGCGUUAUUCGGAAUCACUGGGCGUAAAGCGUGCGUAGGCGGUUUUGUAAGUUAGGAGUGAAAGCCCAGGGCUCAACCCUGGAAUUGCUCUUAAAACUACAAGGCUAGAAUGUCGGAGAGGAUAGCGGAAUUUCCAGUGUAGCAGUGAAAUGCGUAGAUAUUGGAAGGAACACCAGUGGCGUAAGCGGCUAUCUGGACGACUAUUGACGCUGAGGCACGAAAGCGUGGGGAUCAAACAGGAUUAGAUACCCCAGUAGUCC
RNAcentral lists this ribosomal RNA (425 nucleotides) under uncultured bacterium. RNAcentral describes it as "partial 16S ribosomal RNA". It matches the Rfam family "Bacterial small subunit ribosomal RNA", at positions 354 to 796 of the family's 1533-position model. The record is from RNAcentral.